CAUAUGAAAAUAAGGGUCUUUCCCGCAGAAGAUUGUUUUAUCCAAAUACUUAAAAUGUCACAAAAACAGGUGGCUGUCUCCACUGACCAGCCACCAAACAAUAAUUAUUAGACUAACUUAUACUUAUCCGAAUGCAACGAAAGUUUAUACACAUAAACUAGACACACCAAGCUAUGCUCACACAAAUUUUUGGGAUUUUUGGAGUUGAUUUGCUAUUUAAAUUAAAUCAUACAAAAACAGUACAGAAACCGAUUUUAAAUAAUACCAAUAGAUUUUAAUUCACAAGUUAAGAAAAUGAGUUAGGGGACAUGCUAUCCACCACCAAAUAAUCAUGUAAGUAUGUUAUGUUUCAUUCAAAUCCCUUUUAUUUCCGGAUGAAGAUGCUCAAGUUGGCUCACUGUUAGAACUCAACCUAUUACUCUUUCUUACGUAGUAUGUUAAGAGAAUGACGUUUUCAACUUAACUUAGUCCCUAGCAUGCAAUCUAGAAUGGUGUGUUUAUAGAUUUAACAAGUAGAAAUCAUUAAGAAUAAAAAGAGUUUGAGUCAUCACAAGGCAUCGUAAGUACUGGUGUUGUCUUACUUAUCCUAGAAAUCGUUUCACAUGUUAACCACAAUUAACAAGUGCUACUCUAGAACAUAUGUAGGUCCUCAUUCAACAAGGGCAGGCAGACAUAUAUUCAUAGCAUUAAAAUCCUAGAUAUGCUCACUAUGUAUGCAUCCAUAGAAACACAUAAAGAAUUUAUCAAUGACAUAAGUAGUGAAACAAUUUUCAUCCUUUCAUAAAAGUCAUUCAAACAAAAUAUCACAACAAAUUUACGAUCAUAUUCGGGGCUUCAAAACAGCCCCUAACUACUAAAAAUUAGUUACACAUUAUUUUCAAAUUAAACCAAAAGUUAAACAUGGGUUCGAGAAGAUAAAACCAAGAAAAUGGAGUGAAGCCUCUUCUCCCUGCUCUCUGCCGUGCCUCCUCCUUUGGAUUGAUGUGCUACUGACUU
RNAcentral lists this long non-coding RNA (996 nucleotides) under Malus domestica (apple). RNAcentral's name for it is "long non-coding RNA (MDOM_LNC013098)". Lineage: Eukaryota; Viridiplantae; Streptophyta; Magnoliopsida; Rosales; Rosaceae. The record is from RNAcentral.